AUCGCUUCUCGGCCUUUUGGCUAAGAUCAAGGGUAGUACAUAAAAUAGUUCUGCAAUCUACUUUUUCACUUACUCUAUUGUCAUAAACAUUUGACUAUGAUUAAAAAUUAUCUGUGUACACAAUUUUAAUUGCAAUGAUACUACAU
RNAcentral lists this small nuclear RNA (146 nucleotides) under Fukomys damarensis (Damara mole-rat). RNAcentral's name for it is "U2 spliceosomal RNA". It matches the Rfam family "U2 spliceosomal RNA". Rfam says of the family: U2 is a small nuclear RNA (snRNA) component of the spliceosome (involved in pre-mRNA splicing). Complementary binding between U2 snRNA (in an area lying towards the 5' end but 3' to hairpin I) and the branchpoint sequence (BPS) of the intron results the bulging out of an unpaired adenosine, on the BPS, which initiates a nucleophilic attack at the intronic 5' splice site, thus starting the first of two transesterification reactions that mediate splicing. The record is from Rfam by way of RNAcentral. Lineage: Eukaryota; Metazoa; Chordata; Mammalia; Rodentia; Bathyergidae.